AGUCACUGACAUUAGAUACCCGCGUAGUCCCAGGGUGUAAACGCUGCAGACUUGGUGUUGGAAGCCCUUUGGGGGCAUUCAGUGCCGGAGAGAAGUUGUUAAGUCUGCUACUUGGGGAGUACGUCCGCAAGGAUGAAACUUAAAGGAAUUGGCGGGGGAGCACCGCAACGGGAGGAGCGUGCGGUUUAAUUGGAUUCAACACCGUAAAACUCACCAGGGAAGACUGUUACAUGAAGGCCGAGAUGAAGACUCUGCUAGAUUUUCAG
This 266-nucleotide ribosomal RNA is filed under the name uncultured archaeon. Its description in RNAcentral is "partial 16S ribosomal RNA". It matches the Rfam family "Archaeal small subunit ribosomal RNA", at positions 716 to 982 of the family's 1478-position model. The record is from RNAcentral.